ACAUUUUUCCCAUCUUGCAGUUCAAUUCAUAUUGUUUUAUAUCUUAAAUAUUUUGCUCACAGAUCACUAUUAACAUUCUGUAUAUAAUUCUGUUUUAUUUUCUUUCCCCUUGUAUUAAUUUCUUAGCUGAAAAGGCGUAAAGGAAGCAGUCACCCCAGUGGUGCUUGUGGAGAGGUAUUCCUUCAGAAAUUGAGAAGACAGAAAGCUGCAGAGGCAGGAUUGUUUCCAGAUAACACUGUAGUUCUCCGUCAUGCACAAGGACUCACCCCCCCCCCCCCCCCCCACACACACACAGAAAUGGUUCCUGGAUCAGUGACUCAAGACUUUGCAGUGGUUUGAUUUCUGCAGAAGAUGUAACUUUGUUUUAAUUAACCUUAUAAUGAAUACAUUGUGACCUUCCAGCAACCCAUAUACUGUACUGUAUACAGAACCAGUGAUGACAACAAUAGUUAAAAAAUAGCAUUUAUCAUAUUGAUAAAGCAUUGUGUUCUCUUUGUCAAGCUUCAUACAGUAAACUUUACUUCUGGUGCUUUUAUCAUAAAAAAGCAUCAGUUCUGAUCAGGAGUUUUAGUAAAGCACAUAUUCAUGCACAGCAAUCCCCUAGUUCCAGUCAUGAAGUGAAUGAUGUUAUUGUUAAAGUUAUAUUUCUGCAUUUUUAUGUAGCAGGUGUUUGUUUUCCUGAACACUUUAUCUUUCUUCCAUUGUUCGGACAAUCAGUGUUUAUCUGAUGCUGUGCUGAUUGAGUUUUAUAGAUGAUAUUGCACACUUGACAUGCAUGUCUUCAUGAUGUUAUUUUGUGAGUUUGAAACAUUUACAUUGUGUGUAUCACUUUUUGGUCAAUAGAAUCUUUUAAGAAAAUUUAUCUUUUUCCGGUGUUCUCUGAAAGACAUAUACCAUAUUUAUAAUGUUUUGUUUUUUAAUAAAAGAAUUUGCACACUGAAAAUUGUUAACGUUUACAACAUAACUGCCUUUUUAUUCUUCAUAGUUUUAUUCUUCAAAAACGAGCUUGGUGACAGUGCAGUAAUAUGCGCACUUUGUCUUUAAAUGAGUUUGACAUAUCAAUAAAUACUGGAAAAUUCUUACAAAA
Long non-coding RNA from Carassius gibelio (silver crucian carp), 1087 nucleotides. RefSeq lists it as uncharacterized. The transcript is spliced from 2 exons. Lineage: Eukaryota; Metazoa; Chordata; Actinopteri; Cypriniformes; Cyprinidae. The record is from RefSeq and is a predicted model, not a curated record.